UAAUACGGAGGGUGCAAGCGUUAAUCGGAAUUACUGGGCGUAAAGCGCACGCAGGCGGUUUGUUAAGUCAGAUGUGAAAUCCCCGGGCUCAACCUGGGAACUGCAUUUGAAACUGGCAAGCUAGAGUCUCGUAGAGGGGGGGUAGAAUUCCAGGUGUAGCGGUGAAAUGCGUAGAGAUCUGGAGGAAUACCGGUGGCGAAGGCGGCCCCCUGGACGAAGACUGACGCUCAGGUGCGAAAGCGUGGGGAGCAAACAGGAUUAGAUACCCUGGUAGUCCACGCUGUAAACGAUGUCGAUUUGGAGGUUGUGCCCUUGAGGCGUGGCUUCCGGAGCUAACGCGUUAAAUCGACCGCCUGGGGAGUACGGCCGCAAGAUUA
This 377-nucleotide ribosomal RNA is filed under the name uncultured Serratia sp. RNAcentral's name for it is "bacterial SSU rRNA". It matches the Rfam family "Bacterial small subunit ribosomal RNA", at positions 521 to 896 of the family's 1533-position model. The record is from RNAcentral. Lineage: Bacteria; Pseudomonadati; Pseudomonadota; Gammaproteobacteria; Enterobacterales; Yersiniaceae.